Molecule: ribosomal RNA, 460 nt
Filed under: uncultured bacterium
Lineage: Bacteria
Description: partial 16S ribosomal RNA
Rfam family: Bacterial small subunit ribosomal RNA
Source: RNAcentral
CCUACGGGAGGCAGCAGUGAGGAAUAUUGGUCAAUGGACGCAAGUCUGAACCAGCCAUGCCGCGUGCAGGAAGACGGCCCUAUGAGUUGUAAACUGCUUUUGUACGAGGGUAAACGCAGAUACGUGUAUCUGUCUGAAAGUACCGUACGAAUAAGGAUCGGCUAACUCCGUGCCAGCAGCCGCGGUAAUACGGAGGAUUCAAGCGUUAUCCGGAUUUAUUGGGUUUAAAGGGUGCGCAGGCGGUCGGGUAAGUUAGCGGUGAAAUCCCGGGGCUCAACUUCGGAACUGCCUUUGAUACUGUUCGGCUAGAGAGUAGUAGCGGUAGGCGGAAUGUGUGGUGUAGCGGUGAAAUGCUUAGAGAUCAUGCAGAACACCGAUUGCGAAGGCAGCUUACCGGGCUACUACUGACGUUGAGGCACGAAAGCGUGGGGAGCAAACAGGAUUAGAUACCCGAGUAGUC